This 113-nucleotide non-coding RNA is filed under the name Leptospira biflexa. Its description in RNAcentral is "TPP sequence". It matches the Rfam family "TPP riboswitch aptamer (THI element)". From Rfam's summary of the family: Vitamin B(1) in its active form thiamin pyrophosphate (TPP) is an essential coenzyme that is synthesised by coupling of pyrimidine and thiazole moieties in bacteria. The previously detected thiamin-regulatory element, thi box was extended, resulting in a new, highly conserved RNA secondary structure, the THI element, which is widely distributed in eubacteria and also occurs in some archaea. Analysis of operon structures identified a large number of new candidate thiamin-regulated genes, mostly transporters, in various prokaryotic organisms. The record is from RNAcentral. Lineage: Bacteria; Pseudomonadati; Spirochaetota; Leptospiria; Leptospirales; Leptospiraceae. RNAcentral also lists the same sequence under 1 other name.
GAUAACCGUUAGGGGUGCCUAAGGUUUUUGGUUUUCCAAAAAUUCGGCUGAGAAAUACCCUUUUUGAACCUGAUCUUGGUAAUGCUUGCGAAGGGAAACGGGAAAAAUAUUCC